Molecule: ribosomal RNA, 392 nt
Filed under: uncultured bacterium
Lineage: Bacteria
Description: partial 16S ribosomal RNA
Rfam family: Bacterial small subunit ribosomal RNA
Source: RNAcentral
AUACGGAGGAUCCGAGCGUUAUCCGGAUUUAUUGGGUUUAAAGGGUGCGCAGGCGGCCAUUUAAGUCAGCGGUUAAAUCGUGGGGCUCAACCCCAUUCUGCCGUUGAUACUGGGUGGCUUGAUUGCGGUCGAGGUUGGCGGAAUUCGUGGUGUAGCGGUGAAAUGCUUAGAUAUCACGAAGAACUCCGAUUGCGAAGGCAGCUUACUGGACUGUAACUGACGCUGAUGCUCGAAAGUGUGGGUAUCAAACAGGAUUAGAUACCCUGGUAGUCCACACAGUAAACGAUGAGUACUCGCUGUUUGCGAUAUACGGCAAGCGGCCAAGCGAAAGCAUUAAGUAUUCCACCUGGGGAGUACGCCGGCAACGGUGAAACUCAAAUGAAUUGGCGGGG